RNAcentral lists this non-coding RNA (31 nucleotides) under Rattus norvegicus (Norway rat). The record is from RNAcentral. Lineage: Eukaryota; Metazoa; Chordata; Mammalia; Rodentia; Muridae.
UGCCAUGGUGUCUGUGAGAAGGUGCCAAUGG